Molecule: ribosomal RNA, 429 nt
Filed under: Microbacteriaceae bacterium S717-62
Lineage: Bacteria; Bacillati; Actinomycetota; Actinomycetes; Micrococcales; Microbacteriaceae
Description: bacterial SSU rRNA
Rfam family: Bacterial small subunit ribosomal RNA
Source: RNAcentral
GACGAACGCUGGCGGCGUGCUUAACACAUGCAAGUCGAACGAUGAACCCCAGCUUGCUGGGGGGAUUAGUGGCGAACGGGUGAGUAACACGUGAGUAACCUGCCCUUGACUCUGGGAUAAGCGUUGGAAACGACGUCUAAUACCGGAUAUGACCCCUACCGGCAUCGGUUGGGGGUGGAAAGAUUUUUUGGUCAAGGAUGGACUCGCGGCCUAUCAGGUAGUUGGUGAGGUAAUGGCUCACCAAGCCGACGACGGGUAGCCGGCCUGAGAGGGUGACCGGCCACACUGGGACUGAGACACGGCCCAGACUCCUACGGGAGGCAGCAGUGGGGAAUAUUGCACAAUGGGCGAAAGCCUGAUGCAGCAACGCCGCGUGAGGGACGACGGCCUUCGGGUUGUAAACCUCUUUUAGUAGGGAAGAAGGGAGCU